RNAcentral lists this transfer RNA (74 nucleotides) under bacterium. RNAcentral describes it as "tRNA-Gln". It matches the Rfam family "tRNA". Rfam says of the family: Transfer RNA (tRNA) molecules are approximately 80 nucleotides in length. Their secondary structure includes four short double-helical elements and three loops (D, anti-codon, and T loops). RNAcentral also lists the same sequence under 1 other name. The record is from RNAcentral.
UGGGGCGUAGGCGAAUUGGUAAAGCCACCAGACUUUGACUCUGGAGUUUGGAGGUUCGAUGCCUCCCGCCCCAG